This is a long non-coding RNA of Lates calcarifer (barramundi perch), 2024 nucleotides long. RefSeq lists it as uncharacterized. The record is from RefSeq and is a predicted model, not a curated record. The transcript is spliced from 3 exons. NCBI's taxonomy places the organism in Eukaryota, Metazoa, Chordata, Actinopteri, Centropomidae.
CUGACUGCUUCUACACAGAACACUCACCUAACCAGAGCCUGGACUGACUAACACUUGUCUUCAGUGGUUAUUUACACCCAUCUACUCUCUAGCCAUGUGUUUCAUUCUCUACAGUGUCUUUGUUCAGUUGACUUGGAGAGCCGACACAAAAGAAGAAGCUAGAUGGACGGACAUCGACCCUAUGUCUGAAAGUCAAGCCAAAAUAUCAGCACUCUGGUGAAAAUGGCUCUGCUGAUGAUGAUGGGGACGCUAUCCCUGGCAUCUAGCUGCUCUCCUGCCUGUCUGUGUGCAUGUUUGUGUGUGUGACUAAAAGAGGUAGCUGUACAUCUGAACCACAGCACAAAAUGUGAGAUGAAAAAGGCCCCUUUGGUUCUGGGAUUCAAAUUGUAAGAGAUAUGGAGCACUAAAUGCAAGACAGCGUACUCUAAAAGGAUACUGUUGAAGCCGUAUCGACUCUCAGUUCAUGCUGCUUAUCAUAGCACAUCAUAUUAUGUUGGACUAGAAGAUCACUCAGUGUGUGUGUGUUUUCAUAUGUGUAUCUGAGUGCAAGUGCCAAACUAACCAACUGUAAAGUGAAGCAAAGGCAGGGUGCAUGUGUACAUGAGUGUGUAUCAUACAAAAUAAGCACAAUAUGUUGUCAUUGCUUACAGACAUCAACAUGCAUAUUGCACAUGGCACAGCAAUAACAGCAAGAACACAAGCAGUGUGCACAUAAUGAAAGUGACUGCAGCUCUCCCCCACACACUCACACACACAUACACGCACACACACAUAAUACAAAAGUGUAGAUGGAAUUCAGUGUAAACUUAACUUAUAGUAAACUUAUAACAGUGCAGAUGUUACUGAAGAGUCAAAGUUAAGUCAAAAGUCACUGAAGCUUGAAACAAUCUAUGUUUAAUCUGGGAAUAAGACAAAUAGACCAAAUACAAAUACACAAAAUGGUGCCAAGAAUGUAAAUGUAUUCAACUGUUUUAGGGUAGCUUGGUAUUGUGUGUUCAAGGAAACUUUAAAAGCGCUGUAGUAAUGAUGAAUGAUGUAUUGCUGAGUCUACGCAUCUGUCAAAAUAAUGGAUGGAGUCACUGAGAGAUCCACUGUAUAUUAAAAGCAGACAGAGUACAUAUUUCUGCCAUGGUUUAAGUCUACUCUGUUACUGUGGUGGCAGUCAGUUUACCCAAACCCAUUCUGAGUGCUUUAAUGCACAGAAAGAUCCGGUAGAUGCUUGUGUUCUUGGUCCCUGUUAGACAGCCUCACUUGUCCUCACUCUGACCUAUCCUAUUCAUUAAUUAACUCAUUCAUUUGUUUAUCCAUCCAUUCAUUAAUUCAUCAAGCCAUCUAUCAAUCUGUACAGCCUGUACUUUUCCAGUGCCAGCAAACAGACAAAUCUUGGUUGAGGGCAGAAGUAGAGAGGCUGUCAUUAUUGCAGUUGCAUUUUCAUGCAUGCAGUAACACUAUAACAUAUGUAAAGAGACUUUUACUUUCAAACCAAUUCAAUAUGUUGAGGAUCACCUGUAGAGACUGUUAUAUAGUCAUUGAAUGUCUUUGAAAUAAAGAUUAUAAUCUAAAACACUUCAUCCCCACUGAAUCCUUACAUUUGCAUUCUGAGCGGCCUGCGAACAACAGGCUGAGCAGGGACUGCCAAACACCUGUGCAUCUGAUUGUUGAUACAAUCAUCAUGAGCUAGAAGUUAGCUAAUGCCAGGGUGUUUCACAGCCUCCUGUAAAAAAAUGUUAGUAAGAAAAACAUUUUAAAGCCUGUGUUGUAUUUCAGGGGAAUAUUUGUCUUAAUACUGAAAAACAUUCACACAGACCACAGGGCAACUGCUGACUGUGAUUAAUCCAAACAGUUCUCCUCUCACUGUCAUUGACAAUUAGCUCUGUUCAACUCUGCCACUGCAAUAAUUAGUCUGUGGUCAAAUCACAUUUUCACCACUAAAACUUGGUAAUUUAAUUUUCUUUUUACGUGUUGUAUAAUUCACAAAAUUCCUCAAACUACAUGUACAUGUGAUGUGUGUUUUCUUUAUAUGA